RNAcentral lists this unclassified non-coding RNA (458 nucleotides) under Hevea brasiliensis (rubber tree). The record is from RNAcentral. Lineage: Eukaryota; Viridiplantae; Streptophyta; Magnoliopsida; Malpighiales; Euphorbiaceae.
CACCGAGCUUACAUCAGGUGAAGGUAAAGUAUUUUCUUCACUGAAAACUGGCAGAGGUGCAUAAUUAAUGAAUGAAUGCAAUGUUAACAUCUGUGAAUGCAAAAACCUUGGAGAACACUUGUACUGAAUCUAGAUGAACUCUGCUUUGCAUGCAGGACUCUUAGGGUAAUGUCAUGUGGUCAUCACCCUUAGUAAGAAGUUGAUUUUCAUCCUGAUUAUGUAUACCUGUAAACAACAAAUCUAACUUGUUUGAUUGUUGCAUUAUUGUCAAAUCUUCAUGUUGGAAUAUGGCUUGUAGGAACAAGCCCCACAUCGGCAGAAUAUAAGAAAACUAAACGGCAUAUAAAUUCAAGGCAAACCAAACCAAAAUGGCUUAAGCUAUUUUGAUGUGGAGAGCCUAGUUUAGCCAAUAGCCAGCCAGUUUUGGUAUUCACUCUUUAGGUCCAUAAAUCUUAACA